Long non-coding RNA from Carassius gibelio (silver crucian carp), 2236 nucleotides. RefSeq lists it as uncharacterized. The record is from RefSeq and is a predicted model, not a curated record. Lineage: Eukaryota; Metazoa; Chordata; Actinopteri; Cypriniformes; Cyprinidae. The transcript is spliced from 3 exons.
CCCAUCUUUACCAACACUUAGUCUUUAUCUUAAAAUCCUGAUUUCUUUUUUUUAAACCAUUUCCAUAAUAGUCAGUUGCACAACCCAACGGCAACUUCAAACACGCCUAAGAGAUUUUUAGACCAAACAAGGGGACAAGACUACAAUCACUCUCUGGUACCGUCAGCUGAAACCGAGCUUCACAUGUGGCUGUAAUGGCUCAUCUAUUAACCGAGUCUUUACAUAACAACCUCAGAUCUCUGGUGCCACAUUUGGAAAUCUGCCAGUGCUUCCACCCAAUUCACCUGAGAAGCCCCAGGGGUCUAGUUAACUGGUUUGUCAUUCACUCCCACAUGGAGUGUCUUUUAAAAUAGCAGGCAUUGCUUAAAGGAGAAGUUCACCCAAAAAUAUCAAUUCUGUCUUAAUUUAAUUGUCCUUUUGUUUACUUAGUAUUGUUUUUUUUUAAAUGUGACAAAUUUCACUUAAGUCAUUUAUUUUCGCCGAUGUAAUGAUGUCAUUCUGGCCUAAUGCAAGCAAUACAGCACGAGGUUGAGUAAAUUAUGACGUUUUAUUUUUGGGUUAAAUAUUCCGCUAAAUAGGAGUACAAAAUUGAUUUUGGGAGGACUAGAUUAUGAAAUUAAUAAGUAAUGUAUUAAGAUAGUCAGUUGCUCAGACGUUUUCUUCAUAUCUGUUGCUGAGCAACGGACACGACGACAUCGUCAGGCCAAAUCUUCACUAGCAGAACAACCGCUAGAGGACACCAACACCUAAUUUACAGAGAACUCACUCGAUAUUCUCGAUCAAAAUAAGAAACAGCUCGAUAUUAUGCAGUUCAAAGUGUAUAUACAUACAUAUACUACUCUCACGAAAGAUAUAGUAAGACAGUGUGCGUCAAUCAGGCAUUGUGCAAUUCGCGCGCAUACAAACUUUUCACAGAGAACCGACAAGGUUGAGUCUCUUCUAUUCUACCUUAUAUGGAAAUAGUCACCAACGGCUAGUAUUUAAGAACUAACAGUAUUCUUUUGUUUUAUUAUGGAAAAGGUGAGUCUUUGGGUCAUGGAUCGGUGAGCUACAUGUCAGGAGACCAAACGGAACCCUGAUUGACAGGAAAGAGAGACUUUAAUGCCGCAGGAACAUGUCCCCUGAGCUGCAGGGUUCCCGGAGACAACCUUUACGCCGCUGAAGUCAGAGGUCGUCCGUUCCAGAGGGAAACAGUGGCGACACCCCAGAGGCGUUCAGUAGACUAAUGGGACUGACUACAUCAUUAAGAAGGCAAGUUUACCAGAGAUGACUUAAGUUCAGCCAAGCCUAAAGGGGAACAAGUUUUUCUAAGAUGAUUGACAGCAACUCCGUUGAUGUGUAGGAGGAAAUGAAUGAGGCUCUUGUGAAGAAAAGGUUAGUAAUGAAAUGGAUGGAUGCAUGUGCUGAUAUAUGAUCUGAUGAAUCCUGUAUCUUUGCCAUAUCUGUUUUCUGACACAACCUCUGCUGGAAAGGGUUAAGGAGCCUUUGUUUUCUCUGAGAUUGAUUUGACUGAUUAAUGGACAGCUGCUGCUUGUGUUUGUAAGGCAUGCAUUUGGCUACACAUACUGUAGUCUUUAAAGAUGCUUCUGCAUUUAGCAGGCUUGCACAAGGCUUUGGAAAAUGAUACACACAAAAAGGCCUGUUGUCCUUCGAACCUUGGAGAAUGCAAGUGAAAAAUGAAUUGAACUCAGUUUGCUUUGUGCUGUUUUAUUCUUGGAGCAGGAAUGAUUGGGUGUGUGGGGAACUGUGCCAAGACUACACAAACACAGAUUCAUAUCCUUCAUGUCUGUCUAUGGCUUUAUGCUCGUGGAAGAGAACAAAAUGAGGAUCAAAUGUAUAAAAACAAAAAAUAAGUAGGCGUAAAGGAAUAGAGCAAAGUUUUUGUACCGCUGUACGAUGUAGGAAACUGCAAUGAUACACUUUUUAAAAAACUUUAAACAGUAUUUGACAGUAUUUAAACAAAACAUGUUUCCACUUGUAUUCUUUUUGCUUUUACAAACUGUGGUCUCAUCAGACUGUAUUGCGCUCUUAUUAGCAAAUAUUCAGUGCAUUUGUGUGGUUAUUAGUAGUGUAGUGAAGAAUCAAGUCACUUUAAUCAAAGCAGAUUUCUUUUAGUCAAUGCAACGAAUAUGUCUAAACAUAUGUUGCAGUGCAGUUGCUGUACGGUUGCUAGGGUAUUCUGAGUGGUAGCUAGGUGGUGGCUUAAGUCUAAAGAACCCUCCUCCAAGUCAAGAAA